This 2599-nucleotide long non-coding RNA is filed under the name Nicotiana benthamiana. Its description in RNAcentral is "long non-coding RNA (NBEN_LNC027138)". The record is from RNAcentral. Lineage: Eukaryota; Viridiplantae; Streptophyta; Magnoliopsida; Solanales; Solanaceae.
GCAACUCCCUACCCAUAAUCAAUAUAACUGUCCAAACGGAGACACGGCCCCUCACACAGUCUCUCGUCUCUCAGCGAACCCAAACCCUAGCUGCCCUUACAUUCCAUCACCGCCUCCGCCGCAACCCGCCCACCCGAAAAUCGCCUCAGCCGAUAGUGCUCCAAUCACCCCAUAUUCACACCACAGAAUCCUCAUGACAUCCCCCGUCUCACUCUCCGACUAGCUCCCCUCGCAUCCCUGUAGACUUGUCCAAAUGUUAGAUCGAAAAUCCGAUCAAAACCCUAAUAUUUCUAAGUGACCCCAAAAUCACACCCCAUCAUCCUCGACCUUCCCUCAUCAUGUUUUCACCACUAAUUUCCCAAUAUCUACCAAAAACCCCCAAAUUUCAAAUCCGCGGAAAAGUCAGAAAUCCCUAGUUGAUUUGGUUUCAAAGCUCAGAAUUGUUCGAAAUGCAUGCUAGUCAGUUUUUUCUAGGCAAAAACAGCUAAUUAGCAUUAAUUUUGAUUCAUUUCGGAUAUUCAGACUCUGCAAUCAAUCCAGUCUUGUUUUUGAAUAUCUUUUCGACUUUUUUAGGUAAUUCUCUUUUCCCUCCUGCCUUCUUUUUUCUGAAUGCCAUCUUCAUCUCUUUUCCUCUAUAUUUAGUUCUUUGCAUAUAGUUUUAGUCAUUCUGUUUGAUUCACUCUAUUUGUCCAGUUUGUUCUACCUAAAUCAUUUUGUUCCUACUUUUUCGUUUCUUGUUUAGUUAGAUAUUUUCCCUUUUACUAUUUAGGUGUCAAUUUUUUUUUUGAUUGCUUGGUUCAUUUGAAUUUCAGUGGAAUAAGUUUAUUUAGUUAUUUGAUUUAAUAAAAUUCGGGGCAUUUAGGUUAAUUAAAUCAUGAUUAAAACUAAAGUUUGUUUUAAAUUGAUUCCACUGUCAAUUUGGCCGCAUGGUUAAGUUCUGUUUUUCUGUUUCCCAAGUUUCACUGCUUGUGCAUAGGUUUAAUAAUUUUUCUUUGAAUUUCAUGCUAGUAUUAGGAUUAAUGCUUUCAUCAGUGUUUGUCUCAUUUAUGUUAAAUUAGGUUUAAAUUAUUUCUUUUGUAUUGGAUUUAUUUUUCAGAUUAUGCUCAUGCAAAUUGAUUUUAUUUUUAGUUUAAAGUUUGUUUGCUCAAUAGUCUCUUCUUUGAUCUUUUCGUGUGUACUGAUUUUGGCCUUAGGAUGUUAGUUCUGAUUCGUCCACAAUUACGAACUCUAGGGACCUAAGUGAACAAAGAAAUUUUAGGCAAAGGCUGUAAUAAGCAAGCUUUAGAAGAUCAUUUGAGGUUUUUAAAAUUUUGAAAAUAUUAGAACACUCUAGAAACAGAGGCAACUGGCCUCAUUUGGUUAGUACAAAAGUACUGUAACUAUUAUCUUUUGAAAAGACGAGAUCUCAGAAAACUUAUAAAGCCUUCAAAAAAAACCUCCUUUUUCUUUGGGAUUCUACUGAAAACAUGGCCUGAAGUAGAAGGUUUUUCUCGAGUUUGGGUGGAAUCUCUGGUGUCAAUAUUGCUGGGAUUUUUUUGUUUCGGAAUUUUGGUUCAUAUGCUCCAUUCUGUUGUUCCAUCUUUGGAUUCUCAACGUAUUUGUUUUGCUGAGUCUCAUUUUUCAAGGUACUGCUUCAGAUCUCCUAUGUAGUCUCCUUGUACAUAAGUUAUAAAAUUGUCAAAAUUUUCAAAGAUAUGUGUAAUGAAUGAGUGUUAUUUUGAUAUUGUUUGAUUAAUCUUUGACUUUAUAUAGUAUGAUUGCAAGUGUAUUAACAUGAGAAUUUGUGUGUUUUUUAUGAUAUAGUCAUUUAGCAUGUUAAAAUGUGGAUUUGCAUGAGCUGAAAAUAUUUGUUGUUGUCUUUUACCUUAACUCUUUCAGAUGUAUUUCAUGUUUUUCUUGCUUAUCAGUUAUUUAGAAUAAUGCUGGCCUGGUUUAAAGUUAAGUAGGCCAUAACUUGUAGAUUUGGCCAUUGAUGAGGCAUGUGUUAAGGCCUAAAUUCAUAUAUGCAUCACUAAAAGUGUGCUAAAAUCUUUAUGUUAUGAUUGUUGUUUGAAUAUGAGAAUUGUUGUGAGGCUGUUAGCUAAUUUGAGGCUUAGUACCUGCAGAUUUGGUUGAUAAUUGGCCAAGUCAGUAGUUUCAAAAGCUAACAUUUGGACAUUGCUGUUUGAACACAAGAAGGGACUAAACUCUAAUAGACAAAUCAAGUCCAAAAGAGCCCAGAUUCUUUAGGAUAUCAGUUAUGCAAAAUUUGUAGUAGACUAGUUAUUUAGCACAUUUUUCAUGUAUUUUAAUAGGUUGCAGUAUAUUGAUUCUGAGAUUUGUUUUACAUGACUGUAAUAAUCUAAGAUUUCAAUUUCAUACACUGAUAUUUCAAACAAUAACAUGAAGAGAAUAUUUGGAUAUUAUCACAUUUUCUUAUCAUAAGUAUAGUGGGCAAUUGGGCCAAACCUGGAGAUAAGACAAUAUGAAAAUGGGUCUUGACAGGUCUGGUCCUAGACCAUUUGGGUUUAGGCCUUCAACCAAUGGACUUGGCUUAAUUUUAAGGCUUCUUCUUUGAUCCAUAGUAUGAAUUUAUGGUCUUUAUGUUAUUUUUAUUCUG